Molecule: non-coding RNA, 82 nt
Organism: Echinostoma caproni
Lineage: Eukaryota; Metazoa; Platyhelminthes; Trematoda; Plagiorchiida; Echinostomatidae
Source: Rfam
GGCUUUGUAGCUCGGCUGGUAGAGCGUGCUCGUACAAAGCGUAAGCAGCGUCCAUGCGUGGGUUCGAAUCCCACCGAGGCCA